Molecule: ribosomal RNA, 253 nt
Filed under: uncultured bacterium
Lineage: Bacteria
Description: partial 16S ribosomal RNA
Rfam family: Bacterial small subunit ribosomal RNA
Source: RNAcentral
UACAGAGGGUGCAAGCGUUGCUCGGAAUCAUUGGGCGUAAAGGGUAGGUAGGUGGUCUCAUUUGUCUGGGGUGAAAGCCCAGGGCUUAACCCUGGAAGUGCCCCGGAAACGGCGAGACUGGAGUAUUGGAGAGGGUCGUGGAAUUCCCGGUGUAGCGGUGAAAUGCGUAGAGAUCGGGAGGAACACCGGUGGCGAAGGCGGGUCUCUGGGCAGUAACUGACGCUGAGGAGCGAAAGCGUGGGGAGCGAACAGG